Molecule: ribosomal RNA, 468 nt
Filed under: uncultured bacterium
Lineage: Bacteria
Description: partial 16S ribosomal RNA
Rfam family: Bacterial small subunit ribosomal RNA
Source: RNAcentral
GACGAACGCUGGCGGCGUGCUUAACACAUGCAAGUCGAACGGAAAGGCCCUGCUUUUGUGGGGUGCUCGAGUGGCGAACGGGUGAGUAACACGUGAGUAACCUGCCCUUGACUUUGGGAUAACUUCAGGAAACUGGGGCUAAUACCGGAUAGGAGCUCCUGCUGCAUGGUGGGGGUUGGAAAGUUUCGGCGGUUGGGGAUGGACUCGCGGCUUAUCAGCUUGUUGGUGGGGUAGUGGCUUACCACGGCUUUGACGGGUAGCCGGCCUGAGAGGGGGACCGGCACAAUUGGGACUGGGAUACGGCCCAAACUCCUACGGGGGGAAGAAGUGGGGAAUAUUGCACAAUGGGCGGAGGCCGAAUGCAGCAACGCCGGGUGCGGAAUAACGGCCUUCGGGUUGUAACCCGCUUUCGCCUGUGACGAAGCGUGAGUGACGGUAAUGGGUAAAGAAGCACCGGCUAACUACGUG